RNAcentral lists this ribosomal RNA (1132 nucleotides) under insect metagenome. RNAcentral describes it as "SSU rRNA". It matches the Rfam family "Eukaryotic small subunit ribosomal RNA", at positions 162 to 1215 of the family's 1831-position model. The record is from RNAcentral.
AGCUAAUACAUGCAAACAGAAUUCCUCUCAGAGAUGGGAGGAAUGCUUUUAUUAGAUCAAAACCAAUCGGUGGCGGACGGCUCGUCCGUUCGUCAAUCGUUUGUUUUGGUGACUCUGAAUAACUUUGUGCUGAUCGCAUGGUCAUCUAGCACCGGCGACGCAUCUUUCAAAUGUCUGCCUUAUCAACUGUCGAUGGUAGGUUCUGCGCCUACCAUGGUUGUAACGGGUAACGGGGAAUCAGGGUUCGAUUCCGAGAGGGAGCCUGAGAAACAGCUACCACAUCCAAGGAAGGCAGCAGGCGCGCAAAUUACCCACUCCCGGCACGGGGAGGUAGUGACGAAAAAUAACGAUACGGGACUCAUCCGAGGCCCCGUAAUCGGAAUGAGUACACUUUAAAUCCUUUAACGAGGACCAAUUGGAGGGCAAGUCUGGUGCCAGCAGCCGCGGUAAUUCCAGCUCCAAUAGCGUAUAUUAAAGUUGUUGCGGUUAAAAAGCUCGUAGUUGAAUCUGUGUGUCACAGUGUCGGUUCACCGCUCGCGGUGUUUAACUGGCAUUAUGUGGUACCUCCUAUCGGUGGGCUUAGCUCCUUGCGGGCGGUCCAACUAAUAUCCCAUCGCGGUGCUCUUCACUGAGUGUCGAGGUGGGCCGAUACGUUUACUUUGAAAAAAUUAGAGUGCUUAAAGCAGGCUACCUUUGCCUGAAUACUGUGUGCAUGGAAUAAUGGAAUAGGACCUCGGUUCUAUUUUGUUGGUUUUCGGAACCCCGAGGUAAUGAUUAAUAGGGACAGAUGGGGGCAUUCGUAUUGCGACGUUAGAGGUGAAAUUCUUGGAUCGUCGCAAGACGGACAGAAGCGAAAGCAUUUGCCAAAAAUGUUUUUCAUUAAUCAAGAACGAAAGUUAGAGGUUCGAAGGCGAUCAGAUACCGCCCUAGUUCUAACCAUAAACGAUGCCAGCCAGNGUGGANNUCGCNAGANGNUCUUCAGAUGACUCNGCGNNCUCCANAACUUCCGGGAAACCAAAGCUUUUGGGUUCCGGGGGAAGUAUGGUUGCAAAGCUGAAACUUAAAGGAAUUGACGGAAGGGCACCACCAGGAGUGGAGCCUGCGGCUUAAUUUGACCCAACACGGGAAACCU